Long non-coding RNA from Harpia harpyja (harpy eagle), 914 nucleotides. RefSeq lists it as uncharacterized. The record is from RefSeq and is a predicted model, not a curated record. Lineage: Eukaryota; Metazoa; Chordata; Aves; Accipitriformes; Accipitridae. The transcript is spliced from 2 exons.
GCUGCGGGGAAGAAAUGGGGGAUUUGGGUGAAAUGAGAUGCCUCCAUCCUGCCCCACCGGCUCAAAGCUGCCGGAGCAACGUCCUGCAGAGAUCCACCCCAUUGGGGAAGGUGCUGACAACGUGACACCUCACACUUGCCCGAGCAUGGAUGGCCAGGAAAACCAUAAGUAAGACAUCUCAAUGAACCCUUCUUAAAUUUGGGGGGGCAAAGUGGGGGGCAAUCCUGCUAAAAAUCAGAAGAGCAGAGACCUUCCCGCAUUGGAGGACAGAGGGAUGGAUGAGACCAUGGACCGGAUUUACGUGGCAAGGUUUUGGGCGGGAGGGGGCUGCAGAAGUGACCUCUGUGACAAGAGUCAUUGGGCUGCUCCACACUGGACACAGGUAGGUCCAGCUGGCUUCAAAAUGGAAUCACCGCUGGCCAAACCUGAGCCCAUCAGUGACGCUGGUGGUGCCUCUGUGGUAACGUAUUCAAGAAAGGCUAAAAAAUGCUGUGAGAGAGAGGAAUGAGAAAAAUGUGAGAGAAACAACCCUGCGGACACCAAGGUCAGUGAAGAAGGAGGGCGAGGAGGUACUUCAGGGGCUGGAGAAGAGGUUUCCCUUACAGCCCAUGGAGAGUCCAUGCUGAAGCGGGUUGAACCUGAAGGACUCCAGCCCAUGGGAAGGACCCACGUUGGAGCAGGUUCAUCCCGAAGGACUCCAGCCCGUGGGAAGGACCCAGUUCAUGAAGGACUAGAUCCCAUAGUUGUUAGGAACUGACCACAGCCCCCAUUCCCCUACGCCUUCUCAGGGGAGAAGAAGGUAGAAGAGUCAGGAGUGAAGCUGAGGCUGGGGGGGAAGGUGUUUCUAGUUUUCUCUGUUUCUCUCCAUCCUACUCUAUUUUUAAUUACCAAUAAAUUUAAUUAAUCUCCUCCAA